AAGAGAUGUAUGUUUAAAGAUUUUGAAUUAAGGUCCUCGCAAAUCUUUAUAAAACAUAAAAGUUCUGAUUCUUUCCAUUGAUAUGGCACUUUAAGCCCGCACUCUAUCCACAUGACUAAAGACUCGGUCAUUCUGGAGAAAGGAAAUUUCAAGGAAAAUGGCAGCCUAGGUACUAACUGGGUUUCCUUCCUGAAUAUCAACUAGGCUGAUUCUAAACUGCUGUCAAUUUUCAGUGUCAACUUACGUGCAGUAUGCAUUCAGUAUCUCUGCUAGGUAGGAGUAAAGUUGUAGUGAGAAAAGUAGCUGCAUGAUUCAACCAUAGAAAGUUCCAACCUUGUAGCUCCACAUACUAACACAAAUUUUACACGCCAAAACAUCGAUAAAAACAAAAAGAUAGUGACAUCAACAACCAAUAAGACAGCCAACUCAAGCCCAGUUAUUAAGUAUUUAACCAUGUCCAUAUGUCUCUCUCUUCCAUUAAGCAUGUUUCAAUGCAUACUGCGCAGGACUCCAUGAAUGUAGCCACCAGCCAUUACCAACGACACAAGAGAUACAACACCUGCAGGAAAAAUCUUUUUUGACCUUAAGAAACGAGAGCCCAUCACUCCCAUCAGUAUAGAAGACACACCUGGAAAUUUGAAGAAAUUAAAUAAAGUCAAGAUUAACAUCAUAAUAAAGUAACUUUACAUGUUGAGGGUGAGAUGAGAGAGCUAUCCUGGUGUAGCACAAAUGUAAACACAAUUACCACCGAGCGUGAUAGUCUCUGGUGGUUAAUUCGAUGAGAUGGCUUUGUCCCAUGCCAGUUAAAUUCCCCGCACAAACAUGAUAACUAGAUAUUGUCUCUGGUUAGGAGUAUAGUUCGUCUCAUUAGGAGACACCUUGUGUUCAGUGAUAGGUCUCUUCCUGUUGGGUUAAGUUAAAUGAUAACGUCAACCGGUGACUCUGGACUAAGAAGGCUAUGACCGUCAUACCCAUAGAGCCCUCAUUUUUUGCAAUUAAAAAAAAUUGUAAAUUCAAUUAACCCUAUAAGAAUUAGCAUUCAAAAGUCAAAACCAAUAGUUGUUUGAUAAAUAUUAGCAAAUUUAGGAAAGAAAAACACUAAUCAUAAGUUUUCAAUAACAGAAAAUUCCAUCAUUAUGCUAAAUUGCUUUCAUCAAUCAUGACACUAUUAAAAAUGCAAGAAUACACCCAUCCAUUGCUAAUAGGUUAUAGGUGUGAAAGUUUCAAAGACCAAACCUCCAACAAAGUCCAAACGGCAGAGUAAAAGGUAUAACAGGGGAAAUCUUAAUGAUUAGAAAGUGCAUUUUGAUAUUUUCUUUUCUAAAAUCAAGUAUAGAUAGUAUAAAAAAGGGAUAAAAAGUUUAAGAAAGCAAAUCAUGGAAGAGCAAAUCAUGGAGAGAGAGAGAGAGAAAAUGCUAUCUAGGCGCCAAGCCAAAUUGCAAUCACUCAUAGAACAUGCAUAGGAAGCAUUUCUAGCAAACAAAAUAUUGGAAAAUGCAUAGUAAAAAGAAUUCCAUGAAUAUAGGGUUUCUUACCAAGCCCUAUAGACGAGGCAUAAACUGGAUUUGUAGGAAGCUGCGUAUGUACAUAAUACAGUAUUGAAGCAGAUAGGCCUCCUGCCAAAAGUGAUUUCUGGCUACCA
Molecule: unclassified non-coding RNA, 1642 nt
Filed under: Hevea brasiliensis (rubber tree)
Lineage: Eukaryota; Viridiplantae; Streptophyta; Magnoliopsida; Malpighiales; Euphorbiaceae
Source: RNAcentral